This 429-nucleotide ribosomal RNA is filed under the name Bacteroidota bacterium. RNAcentral describes it as "Bacteroidetes bacterium partial 16S ribosomal RNA". It matches the Rfam family "Bacterial small subunit ribosomal RNA", at positions 355 to 776 of the family's 1533-position model. Lineage: Bacteria; Pseudomonadati; Bacteroidota. The record is from RNAcentral.
UAGGGAAUCUUCCGCAAUGGACGCAAGUCUGACGGAGCAACGCCGCGUGAGUGAAGAAGGAUUUCGGUUCGUAAAACUCUGUUGUUAGAGAAGAACAGCGCAUAGAGUAACUGUUAUGCGUGUGACGGUAUCUAACCAGAAAGCCACGGCUAACUACGUGCCAGCAGCCGCGGUAAUACGUAGGUGGCAAGCGUUGUCCGGAUUUAUUGGGCGUAAAGCGAGCGUAGGCGGUCAAUUAAGUCUGAUGUGAAAGCCUCCGGCUCAACCGGGGAGGGUCAUUGGAAACUGGUUGACUUGAGUGCAGAAGAGGAGAGUGGAAUUCCAUGUGUAGCGGUGAAAUGCGUAGAUAUAUGGAGGAACACCAGUGGCGAAGGCGACUCUCUAGUCUGUAGCUGACGCUGAGGUUAGAAAGCGUGGGUAGCAAACAGG